CCACUAUUAAAGCAGUACCCCUUUCUGAAAACAGGCAAAAUUUGGAAAUCAGUCAUGUCUAUCAAAUGAUCUGUAAAUCUCAUUCUAGUCUAUCUUUAUGAAUAUUUUCUUAUUAUUUGGAUACUGUGAAGCUAGAAUAGUAUUCUUAUCUAUUAUUUUUAUUUUUUUCCCUUCUUUUUGAUUGAACCACAUUCAAUAGUUUACCCCUCCCCCUGUUUCCCAUGAAAUCUACCCAAGUGGGCCUCUUGUUUAAGUCAAAUUUAAAAACUACCCAAAACUUUUUCAUAGUGAAGAAUAUGCUACAAUACAACUAUCUAAACACAAGAAAUACCAUAGCUUUCCCUUUUUUGACUAUACAGGUCUUUAUACAUGCCUACUAUAUCAUGGUUUUUAGACUGUACUUGACACCCCAAUGCAUAUAAAAUUUGCAAUAAAAAUCAAGAAAAAACAAAAUGAAUACUCAAGUUGGUGUUUUUGGUAAGAAUAUUGAUUACUUGUCACACCUAAUCACAAAAAUCCUUGUCAUGAUGGAUAGUUUUAGAGAAAUUCUACUUUUUAAACAACUUUUUAACCUAAAUAUGAAAUUUUCAAUUAACCAUGCAGUGCCGCAGACAGGAAAAGAAGCAUAGACUCAUGCAAAAAGAACAUUUUGUGAAAAUCUUUUCACCAAAAGUUCAUUCUAUACAUAUUCUACCUAAAUGUCAACAAUUGAGCCAUAAAAAUAAUAACCCUAAAGAAAAAAUUUACUUUUGUAUGUAGCUGUCUCUUCAACUUUGCACUGAUUUUCAAUAAAAUUGCACAACUAGAAAUUUCAUCACAAGAAGAAGAUUUCAUAGAGGAAAAAAUCUUUCUAUGUUCUUUUUAAUUGAAAAUCAUGUAUGUAAUACCAUCAAAAUCUCAACUUGCCUCAUACUGUUGUGCUUUAUAUCUAUUAAUACUUUUGAAUGGUAUCUAGUAUGAAAAAGCAUAAUUAUUACAUAAUUUCAGUUUUUUCAGUGUAACUAGAUACCGCAUGAUUUUUUUCUCUUACAAAGUCCUUAAAUCAUGAUGUUUUGUCAUUCUGGGCACAUAAAAGUCCACAUGAGCUACUUUCUUGCAGUGAACAUAUGAAAAAUUUACCCUAUGCAGGUUGCAGUCUUGUAAUUGAGCUCUAUAGGCUUAUAUGCUAAACAUCUGAUCUUUGAAAAUAAAAAAAUAAAAAAUGCUACAUAGAAAAAAAAUGUCAUGUUCAUAUCAUGUAUGUACUAAUGUGAAAUUGUGAUUUAAUCGAAAAAAAAGUGGGUCAUGCCACGAAGAAUAAAAAGUUACGUAACCCUGAAGUCAAAACAUUUUUUUUCUACUUUCUGUUUGCUGUUUUCACUAGGCCGCACCACUUCCAGUAAUUAUGAAAUCCUUCCACUUUCCUGGAUUGAUAUCCC
RNAcentral lists this long non-coding RNA (1418 nucleotides) under Mytilus galloprovincialis (Mediterranean mussel). Lineage: Eukaryota; Metazoa; Mollusca; Bivalvia; Mytilida; Mytilidae. The record is from RNAcentral.